RNAcentral lists this ribosomal RNA (450 nucleotides) under uncultured bacterium. Its description in RNAcentral is "SSU rRNA". It matches the Rfam family "Bacterial small subunit ribosomal RNA", at positions 26 to 518 of the family's 1533-position model. The record is from RNAcentral.
AGGAUGAACGCUGGCGGUCUGCUUAACACAUGCAAGUCGAACGGAGUAGCAAUACUUAGUGGCGGACGGGUGAGUAACGCGUGAGAAUCUACCUUCAGGACGGAGACAACAGUUGGAAACGACUGCUAACCCCCGAUGUACCGCAAGGGCAAAUAUUUAUAGCCUGAAGAAGAGCUCGCGUCCGAUUAGCUAGUUGGAGAGGUAAAAGCUCACCAAGGCGACGAUCGGUAGCUGGUCUGAGAGGACGAUCAGCCACACUGGGACUGAGACACGGCCCAGACUCCUACGGGAGGCAGCAGUGGGGAAUAUUGCGCAAUGGGCGGAAGCCUGACGCAGCGACGCCGCGUGAGGGAUGACGGCCUUCGGGUUGUAAACCUCUUCAGCUCUGACGAAGCGAGAGUGACGGUAGGAGCGAGAAGAAGCACCGGCCAACUACGCGCCAGCAGCCGC